CCUACGGGCGGCAGCAGUAGGGAAUAUUGCUCAAUGGGCGAAACCCUGAAGCAGCAACGCCGCGUGGAGGAUGAAGGUUUUCGGAGUGUAAACCCCUUUUUUUAGAGAAGAAAAUGACGGUAUCUAACGAAUAAGCACCGGCUAACUCCGUGCCAGCAGCCGCGGUCAUACGGAGGGUGCAAGCGUUACCCGGAAUCACUGGGCGUAAAGAGCGCGUAGGCGGGAUAGCAAGUCAGGUGUGAAAUCCUAUGGCUUAACCAUAGAACUGCAUUUGAAACUGUUAUUCUAGAGUAUGGGAGAGGUAGGUGGAAUUCGUGGUGUAGGGGUAAAAUGCGUAGAGAUCAAGAAGAAUACUCAUUGCGAAGGCGGCCUGCUAGAACAUAACUGACGCUGAUGCGCGAAAGCGUGGGGAGCAAACAGGAUUAGAUACCCGUGUAGUC
This 440-nucleotide ribosomal RNA is filed under the name uncultured bacterium. RNAcentral's name for it is "partial 16S ribosomal RNA". It matches the Rfam family "Bacterial small subunit ribosomal RNA", at positions 338 to 795 of the family's 1533-position model. The record is from RNAcentral.